GCAUCAGUGGUGUAACGGUAACAUUGGAGCUUCCCAUCCACGUGGGCCCCAAAUGGGGGUUAACUGCUCUAGCCUCGGGUUCGACUCCCGGCUGAUGCA
This is a non-coding RNA of Schizophyllum commune H4-8, 99 nucleotides long. The record is from the annotation of a RefSeq genome assembly. Lineage: Eukaryota; Fungi; Basidiomycota; Agaricomycetes; Agaricales; Schizophyllaceae.